AUACGGGGGGUGCAAGCGUUAUUCGGAUUUAUUGGGCGUAAAGAGCGCGCAGGCGGCUUGGUAAGUCAGAUGUGAAAGCCCGGGGCUCAACCCCGGAAGUGCAUUUGAAACUAUCAGGCUUGAGUAUGGGAGAGGGAAGUGGAAUUCCUGGUGUAGAGGUGAAAUUCGUAGAUAUCAGGAGGAACACCGGUGGCGAAGGCGACUUCCUGGACCAAUACUGACGCUGAGGCGCGAAGGCGUGGGGAGCAAACAGGAUUAGAUACCCCAGUAGUCC
This 274-nucleotide ribosomal RNA is filed under the name uncultured bacterium. Its description in RNAcentral is "partial 16S ribosomal RNA". It matches the Rfam family "Bacterial small subunit ribosomal RNA", at positions 523 to 796 of the family's 1533-position model. The record is from RNAcentral.